Molecule: ribosomal RNA, 492 nt
Filed under: uncultured bacterium
Lineage: Bacteria
Description: partial 16S ribosomal RNA
Rfam family: Bacterial small subunit ribosomal RNA
Source: RNAcentral
AGUGAACGCUGGCGGUAGGCCUAACACAUGCAAGUCGAACGGCAGCACAGUAAGAGCUUGCUCUUACGGGUGGCGAGUGGCGGACGGGUGAGGAAUACAUCGGAAUCUACUUUUUCGUGGGGGAUAACGUAGGGAAGCUUACGCUAAUACCGCAUACGACCUACGGGUGAAAGCAGGGGAUCUUCGGACCUUGCGCGAUUGAAUGAGCCGAUGUCGGAUUAGCUAGUUGGCGGGGUAAUGGCCCACCAAGGCGACGAUCCGUAGCUGGUCUGAGAGGAUGAUCGGCCACACUGGAACUGAGACACGGACCAGACUCCUACGGGAGGCAGCAGUGGGGAAUAUUGGACAAUGGGCGCAAGCCUGAUCCAGCCAUACCGCGUGGGUGAAGAAGGCCUUCGGGUUGUAAAGCCCUUUUGUUGGGAAAGAAAAGCAGCAGGUUAAUACCCCGCUGUUCUGACGGUACCCAAAGAAUAAGCACCGGCUAACUUCGUG